Molecule: ribosomal RNA, 444 nt
Filed under: Apanteles jason
Lineage: Eukaryota; Metazoa; Arthropoda; Insecta; Hymenoptera; Braconidae
Description: partial 16S ribosomal RNA
Source: RNAcentral
UCACCUGUUUUUCAAAAACAUGUCUUAAAGAAAUUUUUAAUUUUAAGUCAAAUCUGCUCAAUGAAAAUAAUUUUAAAUAGCUGCAGUAUAUUUAACUGUACUAAGGUAGCAUAAUAAAUUGUUUUUUAAUUUAAAACUAGUAUGAAAGAUUAAAUGAAAUAUAAACUGUCUCAAAUUAAAAAAAUAAAAUUAUUAUUUAAGUAAAAAAACUUAAAUUAAUUUUAAAGACAAGAAGACCCUAAAGAAUUUUUUUAUUUAAAUUCAAUUUUCUUUAAAUUUAAAUAAUUUAAUUGGGGAAAUUUUAAAAUUUAAUUAAUUUUUAAUUAAAAAAACAAUAAUAUUUGAAUUAUUUAAAUUUUUUUAAAAAAAUAAAUUAAAUUACCUUAGGGAUAACAGCAUAAUUUUUUUUAAAAGUUCAAAUUUAUAAAAAAGUUUAUGACCUCG